Molecule: ribosomal RNA, 466 nt
Filed under: uncultured bacterium
Lineage: Bacteria
Description: bacterial SSU rRNA
Rfam family: Bacterial small subunit ribosomal RNA
Source: RNAcentral
ACCCAGACUCCUACGGGAGGCAGCAGUGAGGAAUAUUGGUCAAUGGGCGGGAGCCUGAACCAGCCAAGCCGCGUGAGGGAAGAAGGUACAGCGUAUCGUAAACCUCUUUUGUCAGGGAACAAAGGCGGGGACUAGUCCCCGGAUGAGGGUACCUGAAGAAAAAGCAUCGGCUAACUCCGUGCCAGCAGCCGCGGUAAUACGGAGGAUGCGAGCGUUAUCCGGAUUUACUGGGUGUAAAGGGAGCGUAGACGGCUGUGCAAGUCUGAAGUGAAAGCCCGUGGCUCAACCGCGGAACUGCUUUGGAAACUGUAUAGCUUGAGUACUGGAGAGGCAGGCGGAAUUCCUAGUGUAGCGGUGAAAUGCGUAGAUAUUAGGAGGAACACCAGUGGCGAAGGCGGCCUGCUGGACAGAAACUGACGUUGAGGCUCGAAAGCGUGGGGAGCAAACAGGAUUAGAUACCCUAGUA